GACGAACGCUGGCGGCGUGCUUAACACAUGCAAGUCGAACGCUGAAGCUCAGCUUUUGUUGGGUGGAUGAGUGGCGAACGGGUGAGUAACACGUGAGUAACCUGCCUCCUUCUUUGGGAUAACGCCCGGAAACGGGUGCUAAUACUGGAUAUUCACUGGUCUUCGCAUGGGGGUUGGUGGAAAGGGUUUUUCUGGUGGGGGAUGGGCUCGCGGCCUAUCAGCUUGUUGGUGGGGUGAUGGCCUACCAAGGCUUUGGCGGGUAGCCGGCCUGAGAGGGUGACCGGUCACAUUGGGACUGAGAUACGGCCCAGACUCCUACGGGAGGCAGCAGUGGGGAAUAUUGCACAAUGGGCGCAAGCCUGAUGCAGCGACGCCGCGUGAGGGAUGGAGGCCUUCGGGUUGUGAACCUCUUUCGCUCAUGGUCAAGCCGCAACAAUGGUUGUGGUGAGGGUAGUGGGUAAAGAAGCGCCGGCUAACUACGU
This 482-nucleotide ribosomal RNA is filed under the name uncultured bacterium. RNAcentral describes it as "partial 16S ribosomal RNA". It matches the Rfam family "Bacterial small subunit ribosomal RNA", at positions 28 to 506 of the family's 1533-position model. The record is from RNAcentral.